UUUCUGAGCACCUUUUAUUGAAAAAUGACCUUCAAGUCUAGGGUCUACCAAUCUGUAAAACCUUCUUCUUUCACCAAGAUGAGGCCGUGCCCAUUCAACAAGGUUGUGUUCCCCAUUUGGUCGGUUCUUGUCCAUCGAUCUCCUACCUGUUAUCAUUUCAAGUAGAACUACCCCAAAACUGUAGACGUCACUCUUUGACGUUAGAUGCCCUGUCAUCACAUACUCAGGGGCUGCAUAACCAUACGUUCCCAUGACACGAGUAGAAACAUGUGUCUUAUCACCCUCAGGACCAUCUUUGGCAAGACCAAAAUCAGAAAGUUUGGCAUUGUAAUCCGCAUCUAGAAGAAUGUUGGAUGUUUUGAAAUCACGGUAUAUCACUGGUCUUUCUGCUUCCUCGUGAAGAAAAGCAAGACCUUUUGCUGCACCCAAUGCUAUCUUCAUGCGGAUGGACCACGGAAGAGGCAGGGACCUCCUGAACAGAUGGUUUUCCAAGCUUCCUCGAGGCAUA
Molecule: unclassified non-coding RNA, 508 nt
Filed under: Hevea brasiliensis (rubber tree)
Lineage: Eukaryota; Viridiplantae; Streptophyta; Magnoliopsida; Malpighiales; Euphorbiaceae
Source: RNAcentral